GUUAGGGUACAUGAUAAUCUUCUCUCAGAUCAUAGAAAAUUAUCAAUUAAUGUAAAAAUUAAAAUAAAACAGAAUAAUAUAAGAUUCACAUUCAACAUAAAGGAGUUAACAAUGAGAAAUAUAAAACUAAUUUUAUUAGUAAUUUUGAUAAUCAAGAUUAUACAAUAAAUUCAUUUUCAGACUUAAUUAACCUUAUUGAUAAAUCAAAAACUGCUGCUCAGUACACUAAAACGAUUAAAUGCCAUCAAAAUAAUAAUUGGGUUACUCCCGAACUUUUGCAAUUGAUUAAGAUAAGAGAUAAAGCUUAUAUGGCUUACAAAAAGGAUUCUAAUAACAUAAAUCUUAAACAAACCUUUCAAAAACUUAAAAAUUCAGUAAACAACAAGAUUAAAACUUUAAAAAACAUGUAUUUUAAAAAUAAAUGGUUAGAAGCAGGUAAUAAUUCAAUAAAGCAAUGGAAAAUUAUAAACUCAUUUAUAAAAAAUACUCCAAAUAAAGAAGCUAUAUCUAAACUGGAAAUUGAUGGAAAUUUAAUGGAAAUUUAAUUACAGACCGUGUAGAAAUUGCAAAUUCGUUGAAUGUGUAUUUUUCUCAAAUAGGCUUAGAAAUAGUUAAGGAAGUUGAAACGGAAAAAAAUAAUGUCAAUGGAAAUAUUGUGUUUAACGAAAUAGUAAAUAAUCAAAGUCUAUUUUUAAGUCCAACAAAUGAAAAUGAAAUUAAUGAUACGUUGUUGCACCUUAAAAGAAAUGCUUCUCCUGGGCAUGACAAUGUCUCAGUGCAUGAUCUGGUUACUGUUAAAGAGCACAUAAUUUCCAUAUUGGCUAAACUAAUAAAUCAAGUUUUUAUUACUGGUGAAUUUCCUGAAGAGUUGAAAAUUUCCAAAAUUUAUCCAAUUUAUAAGUCGGGGCAAAAAUCUUCAAAAAAUAACUAUAGACCAAUUUCAUUACUUAGCAUAUUUUCAAAAAUAAUAGAAAAACUAAUAAAAAAAAGAAUGCUCUCUUUUAUUGAAAGAUUUGUAAAGUAUGAUUUGUUUCAGUAUGGAUUUCUAGCUAACAGUAGUACACUUAGUGCUACUUUUGACCUAACCGAUUUCAUUUCACAAAAACUAGAUCAAGGAAAUAUGGUAAUUGCGAUUUUUAUCGAUCUUCGGAAGGCAUUUGAUGUUGUUAGUCAUAACAUAUUAAUUAGUAAGCUUGAACAAAUGGGAUUUAGGGGUACUGUGCUUAAUUUAAUUAGAACAUAUCUAGAAAAUAGAAAGCAAUAUGUAUGUGUAGAUACUUGCAAAAGUGAUAUAGCAAUAAACAAUUGUGAAGUGCCCCAGGGCUCGGUUUUGGGGCCGCUGCUGUAUACAUUGUUUGUUCUAAGCUUGCGCCUAGUGGGUUUAAAUGGACAGUAUUAUACUUUCGCAGAUGACAGUGCUUCUUUAUACUGGAAAAACAUCAGAAGAAACCGCAAAUUUGGCCAAUAAUGAUUUAAAAAUUUAUCAUGAGUGGUUGCUACAAAAUAACCUAAAAAUUAAUACAAACAAAACAAAAUAUAUAUUGUUUAAACAAAAAAAUAAAGUAAUAACAGAUAUAUAUAUAAAAAUUAAUAAUGAAAGUUUAGAAAAAGUUGAUAGCAUAAAAUAUUUAGGACUCUUUUUGGAUGAGCAACUAAGUUGGAAUGAACAUAUUAAACACAUUAAUAGCAAAAUAAUAUCAUUGAUCGGAGCACUUAAUAAAUGUAAAUAUUUCUUAACUGACAAUGCUAGGUAUAAAAUUUAUUAUGCGUUCUUUCUUUUAGUGGUCAGAUAUCAAAUACCAGUAUGGGGAACAUGUUUAACACAAAUUUGAUUAAAAUAGAAACUCUGCAAAGAAAAACCUUAAAAAUUUUAUUUAAUAUUGAUUAUUUGACGCCAACAAAGAUCCUUUAUCAAUCCUUAUCUGUUCAACCAAUAGUAUAUUUAUUAAAUUUGGAACAAUGUAAAUUAAUAUAUAAGAUAAUAAAUCUUAAAUAUAAAUCCAAUACAGAAAUAAAGUAUGUUAAUGAAAUUCAUAACCAUAAUUUGAGGAAUUGUUCAAAUAUACGUUUGGACAAUGCUAGAACAGAUAAGGCACUGAAAAGCCCACUGGCUGCAGCUACACAGGUUUAUAACAGAUUACCAUCAGAACUAAAUUUCAGAAUUUAAAAUCAUACAAUUUGUUUGUAAAAAGAUUAAAAUUAUUCCUUGUUAUUUGGGACUAUGUAUAACUAUUUUUAAACAUUUAAAUUGUGUUGGAUAGGGUUUUUUUUUUGUUUUUUUUUUAAGCUUAAGAGAGUAUAUGUUUUGUUAUUUUUAUUUUUGAUUGAAAUUAUGGGCGUCAUCUCCGGUACCAAUACUAUAAGUAUUGCUUAGGAGAUUACCUUAAUUCGGAUUUUAUAUUAUAGUUUACUGUAUAUUGUUACCUAUUAUAACUUGUUAAUUGUUUUGUUGUUUUGAUUUCUGAAUAAAGGAUUUACAGAAAAAAAAAAUUCUAGUAGAUGGUAGGUAUUUUUUUUCUUAAUAAUUAUUAAAAUAAAAGAUUUAUUCAUUUAUAUGACAUUUUUUCGGGAGUGAUUAGAGUAAGAUUUUUUGAAACCCACUUAGGACACCCUGACGAAUUAAGAAGUAAAAGGCCAACAAAAUCGGAACAGGAGAUAAUUGUGGAUAAAUUAGCAGCAGCAGUUUCAAAUAAGAGAAUUACUCAGGAGGCCAGAAGCAUAGAUGGCAAUAAACUACAAAGGAAAAAUUGUAUAACAAGAGGAGAUUUAGAGUACCUAAUACGAAAAUGUAAUAUUGACAAGAAAAGGGACAGUGAUGAUAUGAUAGCCACAGUGUUAAAAAUUCAGGAAUGGAACAGUGAUGGAAAAAAUCAUGGAUUUUUAUUUAAACAGAUAGGACAAACUUAUCCAGGAUUAGAAGAAGAUGAUUUUGCAGUUGGAUAUAUGAAUGCUAUUAUAGAAAAAAAAUUAAGAGAUUUUCCAAAAAUAAUCUGUAUAGAUGGAACUCAUGGAACAAAUAGGAGAAACUGGGACUUGACAAUUGUGUUAAUAAGAGAUGAACAAAAUAUGGGUUUUCCAGUGGCAUUCUUACUAAGUAACAGAUUAGAUCAAUUAAUUCAAGAGGUUUGUUUUAGGGCGCUUAAAACUAGAUUAGGGGAAGCAGUUCAAGCUGAAUAUAUAAUGAGUGAUGACGAUCCAAAAUAUUACAAUGCAUGGAUAAUGGCUAUGGAUGCAGAUUACUUUGUACCUGGCAUAUAGUGAAAAAUUGGAACAUACAAGGAAGGUCUAAAAUCAAGAAGUUGGAAAAUAGACAGAUAAUGAAACAUGAAAUGAGGAAAAUUUUAAAGGAGACUGAUCCACAAAAGUUUAUACAGCUGAAAGAGAACUAUUUUAGGCAAUUAGAAGAAGAGGAGGAAACUAAUUUUCAGAAUUACCUGAAAAAGUACUAUUUCCAAAGUAAGAGAGAAUAAUGAUGUGGGCACAUUGUUAUAGAAUCAAUGCCGGAAUUAAUACAAAUAUGGCAAUUGAAAGCUUAAAUAAAGUUCUGAAGUACAACAAAAUGAAUGGAAAGCAGAAUAUUAGGAUUGAAAAACUGUUGGAUUUACUGGAUGAACUUGUUGAUGAAAGAAUGUGGAAAAGGAUUAUAAACAUGGAAAGGCCAAAUGCAAAUAAUUAUCAGCACAAAACAUGUCAGAGUGCACAUAAAAAAGCAGAAGAAAUGGUGGGUAAUAACGGUAAUGUAUCAUAUUCUGAACUAGGACAUUUUAAGGCAAGGUCGUUUAGUGAUAAUUAUAAAUUGUAUUGUGUAAAUUAUAAUGAGGUUUGUGAUGAGGACUGUAGGGCAAUGUAUUGUGAGAAGUGUAAAUUAUGUAAACAUAAAUUUAAUUGUGAUUGUCCAGAAUAUACUGUUAAAAGUGUCAUGUGUAAGCAUAUACAUGCUGUAGCUUUAUUUGAGCAGAGGAGCGAAUAUGUUUCAGGUUUCAUGGAUGAAAUGCAAGAAGAUAAUAAAUAAUCUGUAUGUCAAUGAACCUUCAACAAGAAAGACAGUUUAUGAGGAUGAAGUAAAUCAUUUUCUUGACGUGACUGAAAAUAGAAUGAAUGUGACAAUUGAUUUUGAAAGAAAGCGUGAGAUUUGUCUAGAACAGUUUUGCUCUGAAAUUCGUAAUUAUGGUGGUGGAUUGGGUGAACAUGAUUUAGAAAAAUGUAUGGGUGAUUUUAGAAAUUUUAUGCAGUAAAACAAAAAGAAAUGGUGAUGAAUAAAAAAAGAAAAAUAGAAAAGCAGCAGUAUUAUCUCAACAAAAAACCUAAAUAAAUUUAUUUAUAAUAAAAUGUUUAUAACUAUUUCAUUACUGAAUGACAUUGCUUUCGUGAGUGACCUAUUCUGGUAUUAUAUCUACGUGGUGUUGGCUAUUUGUAUUCAUGUAAUUCGUUGG
Molecule: long non-coding RNA, 4433 nt
Filed under: Anthonomus grandis grandis
Lineage: Eukaryota; Metazoa; Arthropoda; Insecta; Coleoptera; Curculionidae
Description: uncharacterized LOC126750411
Source: RNAcentral